This 465-nucleotide ribosomal RNA is filed under the name uncultured bacterium. RNAcentral describes it as "bacterial SSU rRNA". It matches the Rfam family "Bacterial small subunit ribosomal RNA", at positions 339 to 796 of the family's 1533-position model. The record is from RNAcentral.
AUACGGGAGGCAGCAGUGGGGAAUUUUGGACAAUGGGCGCAAGCCUGAUCCAGCCAUGCCGCGUGAGUGAAGAAGGCCUUCGGGUUGUAAAGCUCUUUCGGACAGAAAGAAAUCGUACGGGCUAAUAUCCCGUAUGGAUGACGGUACUGUAAGAAGAAGCACCGGCUAACUACGUGCCAGCAGCCGCGGUAAUACGUAGGGUGCGAGCGUUAAUCGGAAUUACUGGGCGUAAAGCGUGCGCAGGCGGUUUCGUAAGACAGAUGUGAAAUCCCCGGGCUUAACCUGGGAACUGCAUUUGUGACUGCGAGGCUAGAGUACGGCAGAGGGGGGUAGAAUUCCACGUGUAGCAGUGAAAUGCGUAGAUAUGUGGAGGAAUACCGAUGGCGAAGGCAGCCCCCUGGGUCGAUACUGACGCUCAUGCACGAAAGCGUGGGGAGCAAACAGGAUUAGAUACCCCAGUAGUCU